CCUUAAUCGUGUUUUAUUAACGCAUUUAGCCACUUGUAUUACUUGGGGGGUGGUGGGGCCCAACUGUUCUAGAACCACAAUCACCACCGCCACCGGAUUUGACAAUUCGAAGGUUUGUGCAUUGUGAUUCUGUUAUUUAUUUAUUUAUUUAUUUUUGUUCACAACGGACUGCCUAAUAUAUCGUGAGAGGCCAAAAGGGUCAUUUGGCCUCGAUGUCCUAAUUUGGGACCAUGUUCAUGCAAUAGAAUGUCGAAACUUCCCCAAAUUUUUAAUGGAAAUGGAUGUCAAAAUGGCAAAUAUACCCUUGAGCUGUUCUUUUUGCGAGCCGAUCGAUCCACAUCGGC
RNAcentral lists this unclassified non-coding RNA (344 nucleotides) under Hevea brasiliensis (rubber tree). Lineage: Eukaryota; Viridiplantae; Streptophyta; Magnoliopsida; Malpighiales; Euphorbiaceae. The record is from RNAcentral.